UUGAGUGUGGCCAGCCAACUGUAUAUUAUCUGUGUUGUAGUUGAGCCACGACUCUGUGAAACAUAAGAUAUUACCGUUUUUAAUGUCCCGUUGGUAGGAUAGUCUCGAAUGGAGCUCAUCGUUUAUUCUCCGGUGAUUGGACGUUGGCCAAUAGAACAGACGGUACAGGCGGAUUACCCACUCACCAACAAAUUCUCACAAGGUACCCCGAUCUCCGCCCACUGUACCUCCAUCUUUUCUUCACGUGAAUAACAAGGAUUUGAGCCUAGUCUUGGAGAAACAGGUGAGAGUUCCCUCAGUGCAGCUGUUUGGGAUGGAUUAAGGGGCAGAGGAGCGGUUGGUGCCCUUCAGCAGCUGGAAGUGCAACAGUGAAAGCCCGGAGUUGAAGAGAGAAUACCUACAGCCACAUUGGGAGGCACAUCAGGAUCUCUAUACGAAACCUACGGACAGGAACACACUCAGAGGUGACAGCUUUCAUCCACGUCCACUUAUUAAAAGUCUCCCUAUAUGUCAAUUCAGUCGUAUCAGAAGAAAAUGCCGCUCUGAUGCCUCUUAUCCGAACCAGACCACGGACCUCACGCAAAGGUUUAAGGAAAUGCGGUACAAAGACAAUUGGGUAAAACAUGCCAAUGAUCAGUUUGAAGGACACAGUUAGAAAGCCUUCAAACCAAAGUUCAAGAAAAAGCAGAACAUUUCCCAUCAUGCUUCACCCAAUACUCACCGAUACUGAAACAUUGGGGAAGGCAUUUAAGGACAUUAUCAGGAAGGACUGGUACAUUAUUGAUACUGACCCACAAUUGAAACCCAUUUUUAAAUAUCCUCACAUACGGUCUUUAAAAAGACGCACACACGUGAGAGACAUCGUGGUUAAAUCUGAUUUACCCACCAGAGAAAAGGGAGACUUUCCGGAGGGUAAUUACAAAUGUGGCCAAUGAGCUCAAUGCAGCUUCACGUACAAAUGCAACUAGAAAUGGUCAAGAUGUCACGCAGGGGAGGGGACAUUGAGAGGAAACUUCUUCAAAGGGAAUCUUUCUGGAUCCACAGGCUCAGCAAACUGUCUCCUCUUGGCCUUAACAAGGAAUUUGACUUCAAACCGUUUUUAUAGUUUCAAUAAGUCCAAAUGUUUUUUUUUUUUAAUCCUAAUUGAAUAUUGUAUGUGUAUGUAUAUUACUGUAAAUAUUGAUCACAUUCCUUGUGUAUGUAUCACGCCCUGCUCUGUUUCACCUGUCUUUGUGCUUGUCUCCACCCCCCACCAUGUGUCUCCCAUUUGUCCCCAUUAUCCCCUGUGUAUUUAUACCUGUGUUUUCUGUUUGUCUGUUGCCAGUUCGUCUUGUCCCGUCAAGUAUUACCAGCGUGUUUUCCCGGUUUCGAGUCUUUCUAGUUAUUGUUUUCUAGUCUUCCCGGUUCUGACCAUUCUGCCUGCCUGCCGUUCUGUACCUCAUUGACUCUGCCCUGGACUACUGACCAAUCUGCCUGCCCUGACCCUGAGUCUGCUUACCAUUCUGUACCUCAUUGACUCUGCCCUGGACUACUGACCUCUGCCUGCCCUGACCCUGAGUCUGCUUACCAUUCUGUACCUCAUUGACUCUGCCCUGGACUACUGACCUCUGCCUGCCCUGACCCUGAGUCUGCUUACCAUUCUGUACCUCUUUGACUCUGCCCUGGAUUACUGACCUCUGCCUGCCCUCGACCUGCCCUGCCCUGGCCUGUCCCCUUGUAUAAUAAAUAUUAUGAGAACUGUACUCUCUGCCUCCUCCUCUGCAUCUGGGUCAUAUCCUGAGUCG
Oncorhynchus tshawytscha (Chinook salmon) is the source of this 1784-nucleotide long non-coding RNA. RefSeq lists it as uncharacterized. The transcript has 4 exons. NCBI's taxonomy places the organism in Eukaryota, Metazoa, Chordata, Actinopteri, Salmoniformes, Salmonidae. The record is from RefSeq and is a predicted model, not a curated record.